UUGAACGCUGGCGGCAGGCUUAACACAUGCAAGUCGAGCGGGGGAAGGUAGCUUGCUACCGGACCUAGCGGCGGACGGGUGAGUAAUGCUUAGGAAUCUGCCUAUUAGUGGGGGACAACAUCUCGAAAGGGAUGCUAAUACCGCAUACGUCCUACGGGAGAAAGCAGGGGAUCUUCGGACCUUGCGCUAAUAGAUGAGCCUAAGUCGGAUUAGCUAGUUGGUGGGGUAAAGGCCUACCAAGGCGACGAUCUGUAGCGGGUCUGAGAGGAUGAUCCGCCACACUGGGACUGAGACACGGCCCAGACUCCUACGGGAGGCAGCAGUGGGGAAUAUUGGACAAUGGGGGGAACCCUGAUCCAGCCAUGCCGCGUGUGUGAAGAAGGCCUUAUGGUUGUAAAGCACUUUAAGCGAGGAGGAGGCUACUUUAGUUAAUACCUAGAGAUAGUGGACGUUACUCGCAGAAUAAGCACCGGCUAACUCUGUGCCAGCAGCCGCGGUAAUACAGAGGGUGCGAGCGUUAAUCGGAUCUACUGGGCGUAAAGCGUGCGUAGGCGGCUUAUUAAGUCGGAUGUGAAAUCCCCGAGCUUAACUUGGGAAUUGCAUUCGAUACUGGUGAGCUAGAGUAUGGGAGAGGAUGGUAGAAUUCCAGGUGUAGCGGUGAAAUGCGUCGAGAUCUGGAGGAAUACCGAUGGCGAAAGCAGCCAUCUGGCCUAAUACUGACGC
This 723-nucleotide ribosomal RNA is filed under the name Acinetobacter baumannii OIFC109. RNAcentral describes it as "bacterial SSU rRNA". It matches the Rfam family "Bacterial small subunit ribosomal RNA", at positions 29 to 746 of the family's 1533-position model. Lineage: Bacteria; Pseudomonadati; Pseudomonadota; Gammaproteobacteria; Moraxellales; Moraxellaceae. The record is from RNAcentral.